UCCUUCUUUCCAUCCCUCCCUUCUUUGUUCCUCUUCUCUUUUAGUAUUUAAACAUACAAUGCCAUGUUCUAGGCACUGUGCCAAGGGUGGGGUCAAAAAAUCACUCAUCUUUACAUUUACAGUAUUUCUCAAGUUCAUCUUCUAUGCCUGGCAUUGUACCAAGGACCCUGGGCACUAAGGAUGCAGCAGGAAAUGCAGCAGACUUCAUUUCUGCUCUUACAGGGCUUACAUUUGAGUGUUUUCUCUUCAAGAACCUGGACGUUUAGUCUAGGUUGUGUCUUCCGUGAGAAAGGCUGGCGUUGGGUAAGGCUGGAGAGAAACAGAUCUGAAGCCAAUCCCUGAGCCUCCUGGGCCAUACACUGUCCCACUAUUUCAAAAGAAACUCAGUGACGAGAGGGCAGAGGGAGAAUAUGUCCAGCAUCUCAGCCUCAUUGUUUUCCACUUGGCAGCCCCCUCCAGUUCAGGGAUUCAUUUGAAGAAGCCCACAGGGACGGGUGACACUGAGGAAACAAAACCCAGGCCCCCCGGCCUCCGACUGAGCCGUGCAGAGCAUGCUGGGAGAUCACCUCCACCUGAGGAGCACAAAAGACCCCAGGAGUGGAGGAAGCUGGCCUGAGGCCAACUGGAUGUAGCAGACUUGCUGAGCCCAAGGAGGGAGGUCUGGUGAUGGAGCCUCGAGUACAUAUCCUUCCAAUCCUAAGGCAAUGCGAAAUCCACAGGACAGAAGAAACCUGGUUCUGGAAUCCCCUCUUGGAAGUGAGCUGCCUGCUGAUUAAUAAUACUUGUUGUUUUGGAUUUUAUGUAAGCUCAAAAUAUACUUUAUGGGUGUGACCCAAUGAGAUUUGAGGAUUUGUUUAUUACAGAAACUAGCAUUGCCCUAACUAAUAUAUAUCCAGUCACAUUUCUUUCCACUCUAAUACACAAAAAUCUCUAUGCUGCUCAGAAGAGUUUCCAUCUCCCCCACUACUGCUUAUAUGUCUUCUGCCUAGAAUAUCUUCAAUUGCUUUCUUCCUAUUUUAAACUAUUCAUCUUUAAGGCCCAAGCUAAGUGCCAUCUCUUUGUUUGUAUAUUUGUUUUA
Molecule: long non-coding RNA, 1078 nt
Filed under: Homo sapiens (human)
Lineage: Eukaryota; Metazoa; Chordata; Mammalia; Primates; Hominidae
Description: HSALNT0370697
Source: RNAcentral